GGGGAUGACUGGUUUCGACUUGGAAUGGUUGUUCCAGGAGAAGCGGGCCGAGGACCCAGGGUCAACUCGUUAACGAUCCUUGGAAACCUAUAAGUGCCGAGAACACUCGCACUGACUUCGCUCUCGCUGCCUGAUCAGUGAUCGAAGGGUCAGCCCGGAUGUAGCCUUCCGUCCGGAUCCUGGCCUCGUUUAGAAGGCUUGCCGUACAGCUGUGGUCACGGGGGCUGUACGGGACGUUUCCGUGACUGGGCUUGUCUGCACCAUGUCGGUGUGAGUGCAGGAGCCGAGCA
This 290-nucleotide transfer-messenger RNA is filed under the name Cutibacterium acnes HL025PA1. RNAcentral's name for it is "transfer-messenger RNA Propi_acnes_SK137". It matches the Rfam family "transfer-messenger RNA", at positions 1 to 295 of the family's 374-position model. Rfam says of the family: Bacterial tmRNA, also known as 10Sa RNA or SsrA, is named for its dual tRNA and mRNA-like properties. Its role is to liberate the mRNA from a stalled ribosome. RNAcentral also lists the same sequence under 3 other names. Lineage: Bacteria; Bacillati; Actinomycetota; Actinomycetes; Propionibacteriales; Propionibacteriaceae. The record is from RNAcentral.